GGCCAGGAUCUGAAGCAGUGGUGUCAAGAGGCCUCUCAGAUGCUGGUUGAGCAUGAACAUGGCUGACACCACCUUUGUUUUUAAAUAAAAGAUUAAACGAAUGUUCUAAAAAAAACAGACUGGUCACCAGAAGAUAAUUGUUUCAGCUUUGUUUACUGUGCGGAGAGACUGCGAGAGAGGGAGAGAGAGAGAAGGAGUGCUGGUUGGUGUCCUUGGACUGGA
This is a non-coding RNA of Lepisosteus oculatus (spotted gar), 222 nucleotides long. NCBI's taxonomy places the organism in Eukaryota, Metazoa, Chordata, Actinopteri, Semionotiformes, Lepisosteidae. The record is from RefSeq and is a predicted model, not a curated record.